This 489-nucleotide ribosomal RNA is filed under the name uncultured bacterium. Its description in RNAcentral is "bacterial SSU rRNA". It matches the Rfam family "Bacterial small subunit ribosomal RNA", at positions 28 to 507 of the family's 1533-position model. The record is from RNAcentral.
GAUGAACGCUAGCUACAGGCUUAACACAUGCAAGUCGAGGGGCAGCAUGAACAAAGCUUGCUUUGUUUGAUGGCGACCGGCGCACGGGUGAGUAACGCGUAUCCAACCUGCCCCGUACUCGGGUAUAGCCCAGCGAAAGCUGGAUUAAUCCCCGAUGUCACCUUUAUGGUGCAUGCCAUAUUGGUUAAAGUUAUUCGGUACGGGAUGGGGAUGCGUCUGAUUAGCUUGUUGGCGGGGUAACGGCCCACCAAGGCAACGAUCGUUAGGGGUUCUGAGAGGAAGGUCCCCCACACUGGAACUGAGACACGGUCCAGACUCCUACGGGAGGCAGCAGUGAGGAAUAUUGGUCAAUGGGCGGGAGCCUGAACCAGCCAAGUAGCGUGAAGGAAGACUGCCCUACGGGUUGUAAACUUCUUUUGUUUGGGAAUAAAAGACGCUACGUGUAGCGUUGUGCAUGUACCUUACGAAUAAGCAUCGGCUAAUUCCGUG